AUUCUUGUUCCAAACAUCAUCUAACACAAGCAAAAAUUUCUUCCCUUCUAAAGCCUCAUACAGCCUGACCUGAACCAGAGUCCAAUCCUUCAAAUCACAAGGUUGGAAAGUGAUUGACUCAAGAAUGGAUUUGGUUAUUCUCAUUAAAUCAAAUUCAUCAGAGACAAAAACCCAUGCCUUAAGAUCAAAAUGUGUCACAACUGAUUCAUCAUUGUAGACCAGU
RNAcentral lists this unclassified non-coding RNA (223 nucleotides) under Hevea brasiliensis (rubber tree). The record is from RNAcentral. Lineage: Eukaryota; Viridiplantae; Streptophyta; Magnoliopsida; Malpighiales; Euphorbiaceae.